Neofelis nebulosa (Clouded leopard) is the source of this 5537-nucleotide long non-coding RNA. RefSeq lists it as uncharacterized. The record is from RefSeq and is a predicted model, not a curated record. The transcript is spliced from 2 exons. NCBI's taxonomy places the organism in Eukaryota, Metazoa, Chordata, Mammalia, Carnivora, Felidae.
GCCAACAUUUACAAAAGCUCUUGGAGCUCUUCAAUAAUUUACAAGCCUGGAAAGCGGUCUCGAGACCAAGAAGCUUGAGCACUGCUAGCAUGUGAUCGUGGAGCCAUGUAGUGAGAUCGGCAUGGGUUUCUCCCUCGUCUCUCCAGCCUGGGGCAAUUUUAACCCAGGACUGCCUGGCAGGCCCUGGUUGACUCCUCGUGGCACAAUUGGUUUGUGUCUUACCUCUGCCACUAACUUGCCCAGAAUCUUGGGCAGCAUAUUUGACCUCUGUUCCUGCAUCUGUAGAAUGGGGAUGAUGCUCAUCAAGCCUGAGGGUCAUUGUUGAGGGAGAACGUGUGUCGGGUAAUUGACUCACUGGCAUGUGGAGAUGUGCUGUCAGUUACUACCGGAUGUUACUCUUCUGGUGGAUGUCCAAGUAGAGCGAAAGCUGCCUUUGGAUUAUAGCCGUGUUUCUCCACUUCAGCAUAAUUGACAUUGGGACUGGUGGGGACUGUCCUAUGCAUCGCAAGAUGUUUAGCAGUAUCUGUGGCCUUUAUAUGGUGCCAGUGGCACCCCCUGCCCCCGGUCACGACAAGGAAAAACGUCUCCAUACGUUGCCAGAUGUCCCCUUGGGCAGAAUCGCCUGAGUUUUAAGAACCCCUGGGUUAGGGGAGUCCAUUGAGUCCCAAGAAACUACAUUACCCAAUCAUCUGACCUACUGAGGUCCUAGGAUGCUGCACACGUUUAAAUACAGAGCGUGGGGAGGGAGAGGAGAGGUGACUCACAAAAGCUAGGGACCACCCCAGUUCAUCCCGUCUGACCCACUGGGAACUUACUUUGGUGUAUAAUGUGAGUUAGGAUCUAAUGCAGUAUUUUCAAAAUAAUUAAUGCAAAGUUUUUCAACCUCAACACAGUUAGCAUUUGGGGUUGGGUUAUUCUUUAUGGUUUGGGGAUCCUCCUGUGCGCUGUAGGAUACUGAUCAGCGUCCCUGGUCUCCACCCACUAGGUGCCAUUAGCAGCUCCCCCGCACUGUGAUAACCAGAAGUAUCUCCAGCCAUCGCCUGCUGUCCCCAAGGGGCCCAUCACCCGUGGGUGAGAAGCACUGGGUUAUGAAAUGAAAUAAAACUAUGCAGGAAUAGAUUGUUUACCAACUGGAAUUUAGGGCUCACCCUCCCAACCUUUUUCCAUUGUGGCCUUUUGGCAGAUGAGUGGGAUCAUGUACUUCAUAUCCCUGUUAAGGAGGAACCAUGACUUUUAUUCAGCACUGUCUCAAGUUCAAUGUAAGGACCUUCAGAGAUGCUCUGGGUUCGGGCCAUUCCAUUUCACAGGGGCUGGGGCCAAAGGCCAUGUAAGCAGGGAGAGUCAACUGGGACAGUGUGCCUCCUUCCAUUCUUUGGCCUGGGAGCCCACGGUCAGUCAUUUGUGGUGGGUCAGGAGCACUGACUUCAUGGGCACGAGUUCUCCUCCGGAAGACUGGCCCAUGUAGGGCACUAUGCUUGGCUGUUCCUCUCAAAGAGAACAUGGUAUUUGCAGAGAUGGGAGUGGUUAUUCCAUGCACGUGUUUAGAAGGCAGGCCUUGCUCUGUGUAGUAAGUUUAAAAUGCCUUUGCUGUAGUUGAACUCCCCCAGGUUUGCCACACAGAAUUUCAGGAAUUUGCUGACCCAGAAAAUGGCUGUGUCACAUUUGUAAUAGCAGAGUGGGAAUGGGGCACGUGGUUUUUGCGAAUUUGGCUUUCUCAGGUUGUGAGGACACAGACCACCCUUUACUCAGAGGGGAAAGGACGUCUCGUAGUGUUGAUGGCGGUAGCCCAUGGGGAUCCAAGAGUCCAGGGCCUGGAUCAGUCAUUAUCAGCACCAUUGGAGGGCGCCCCUGCUUGUGGGGUCUCAUUGCCACAGGAGACAGGCUUGUUUUAGCUAACAGCGUCUGCCGCUGAGUGAGCAAGGCGUACUUUCACGGCCCCUUUACCAUCCUCUGUGUUCCCACAGCUGAGGCACCAGCCGGCUCAGUCUCCACAGUCUGCCAGAGUACCCACUUUGCCCCGUCUCCAAGGCCACAGGACUAGCCCGGGUUGCUAUUUGCCCCACCCGUUGUCACCUAGAUGAUUCCUGAAGGCUCCUCACUGGUCCCCUCUUUUGUGCUUGCCUCCAUGAGACCUGUCCUCCUCGCCACCCCCAGGGAGAUGUCCCCCAGCAUUUAAUUACCAAACCUUUCUCACACACAAAAAUAGGAAGAAUUGUGUGAGGACCACUGCCAGCGAGAUCCUUUAAAAAUACAAACCAGGUCAUGGUCUCAGGAUUCAUGAGAUCGAGCCCCGUGUCGGGCUCUGCGCUGACAGCCUGGAGCCUGCUUGGGAUUCUCUCUCUCCCUCUCUCUGCUCCUCCCUCCUUCUGUCUCAGAAUAAAUAAAUGAACUUAAAAAAAUAAAUACAGGGGCUCCUGGGUGGCUCAGUCGUUAAGUGUCAGACUUCGGCUCAGGUCAUGAUCUUGCAGUUAGUGAGUUCGAGCCCCGCGUCAGGCUCUGUGCUGACACCUCGGAGCCUGGAGCCUGCUUCGGAUUCUGUGUCUCCCUCUCUCUCUGUUCCUCCCCCACUCACUCUCUGUCUCUAAAUAAAUAAAUAAACAAACAUUUAAAUAAAUAAAUACAAAUAUAAACCAGACCAAACUCCCCUCCUUGGUCUCCUCCUCUGGCCUCCCUUUAAACUGGAUAAAUCCAGACCCCUCACCAUGGACCCCAACCCCACCUACUAUGUUUUUUCUAACUCUCCAGCCACAUUAGCCUCUAAAUUCUUUCUGUCCUUAGGACUCUCGUACCUGGGAUGCCCUCUGCACAUUCACCUGCCUUACUCCUUUAAUGUCUCAGGUUCAAAUGGCACCUUAGGGAGGCCAUACCCAACCAUCCCCCCUACAGUACCCUUCUCCCGGUACUCUUUCCCACCACCCUGUCUUGUCUUCCUUAUAGCACCUCUUGUCCACCGUUCAUCCUGUCUCCGGUGCCAGACAUGGUGUCUGGCACAUGGUAGAGGCUCAGUAAAUCGUGUGGCUGCAAAGCAGGGUUUAACUGGUUAGCCUGCCUUCAGGUCAGGGCUUGAGGGAUUCUGAACAACUGAGCAUUUGAGUUGUCCCGGAAUCUGGGCAGCUUCGGACGGGGCCACAUUUUGAGGCAUUCAUUCAUCAUUGUUGGGGACCUGGGGGUUGGAUCCAGUCCUUGAAUCCAUGACCCAUGCUUUAAGGUGGCAUCAAUGUGCUUGCCGUUUUCUGGGUAUAAUUAUAAUAAUGAUAGUAAUGCCGAGGUGGAAUCCCCGCUGUGUGCCAGCCGCUCCGGAAACACUUUGUGUGCGUAAUUCCAUUUAACCCUCCCUGGGACUGCCUGGGGGACAGCACCAUCCCUGUCAGAUGGCCAGGGAACAGGGAAGGUAAGUUGCGGUGCCCAGGAUCCCAGCCACAAGUGGUUGAGGCCAGUUUGAAUGCACACAAAAAUCAGAGCCCGCAUUUCAUCAGUUUUGGUCUGCUGCCUCAGCAGAAGUUCUGUAGUCCUUAGGCUUCCGUCCUGUGGGGGUGGUUUCCGUGGUCUUUCCUGGAACUUUCCCCCAGCCUUCGGCCACUUUUAUUUCACCUCAGCUCUGCCUGUGUCGCGCCACCUAGCGGCAGAGUUAGAAACGUGUGGCAAAACUGGCUCCCUGAAUUGCGUUCUUUUGGUGAAGCUGCUGACUUUGUAUGAUUUAUUUAAUAAGUGUAUGGGGUUUCUCUUGGAUUCAAGGCGCAGAGGUGCCCAGAGCACAGGUUCUGUCACAGCCACUUACAGUCUGGGCGACUGGGGCGGAGAGGGAGGGACAGAAGGGCUCGACUGCAGGGCCGAUUUGUGUAGAAGGCGGCAGAGUGAGGCUUGGCCCCUGGGCUUGGCCCCGGGACCCGAGGCAUCCAGCUUGGAAGUCAGACUCGGGGUUCUGGUCCCAGCUCUGUCACUUACCAGCUUUGGGACUUCGAGCAAAGCACUAUCUGUCUGAGGCGUCUCAGUCUUAUCUCAUGAUUUGCAGGUCAGAGAUGAUAGACAGUGUGGACAUCACAGGAAUGUGAUGACAUGAAAUGAAAUGAGACUGGGUGUGUGAAGCACCUGCUGCUGGGUCUAGUGAGGGCCGUUCAGCAAACGUGGGUUGCGUGUUGUUCACACUGUUGUUUGAAGUAUGGGGACACAGCAGUGUCCCCAGCAUAGAUUACAGCCUUGAAAAGUGGCUUGGAUUUCAGUAGGUAAAGAUAAUGGCAGGACGAAGAGAGCAUUCCAGAAAGAAGUGCGUAAAAUAAAAGAUAGCAUCAUCUCCAAAACUAUGCCCUGUAUGAUCUCCCUGAAGCCAGCUGGGAGUUGCUUGGGGAAGAACAUAUUCUAGUACUGAAAAAGGAAUUAAGGGGCCCCCCACCCUCUCCUAGUUGGACUGGGUGGCCACUGAGCAUUUGGGACACCAAGAUCAAGAGAGGCAUCACCUAGCAACAGCAUGUUUGAGAUUGUCUAUUCUUCACCAGAGAAUUAGUUUGCGAAUAGAGUUGACACAUCAGUGACAAAUUCACCUUUAUGUUGCUGCGCUGAACUGUUUAUAAUAAUUCCUGAGCAAAGAAAUGACUUGAAGGGUUGAGAUAGAAAGUGUUGUAGGAUUAAAGCAGUUGUCACGUCUUAACAGACUGUUAUUUGUGUUGCCAAGAUGCUUUCCAUAUUUUUUGCACAGAUAAGAAGAUUAAGACACAUCAGCCCAGGAUUAAAGCUCAUUUUACACAAGUACCUUGCUGACAUUUUGGUCAAGAAUUCCAAGUGGCUUUCCAGAUGGGGGCCGUUUCCUGGCAGGUGUUUGAGUCAUCAUUUAGGAGGGGAAUAAACAGAACAGGCAAAGAUAUUCCAGAUUCCCUUCUCUGUGUUUUCCUGGGCCUACAUAUUUUCUUCUGUUUAGUUUAACAGGCAGUCCUGAGAGACAAAGGUUGGAGGCAGCCACUGGGGGUGCCAAAGCUUGUUGGGAGGGCGGGCCUGCCGGUAGUGUCUGUGUACUUUACUUCCUGCACAGCGUGGAGAGAAUGGGUUUUCAGCUUAGAUUCUGAAUAUGUUCUGCAGGGCAUUGUGUGGUUGACACUGGGAAGAUGAAGUCAGUGUACCUUGUCUCACUGUAGGGCGUCCACACAUGGGACUGUGCCUUCAUUCUGUCUUUGGCCAUCCUAGGGAUCUGCUGUUGGCCUAACAGCACCCUUGUCUGAGGCAGAUGGUCACCCCAAAACUCAUCACACACCGUCUGGUUUCCUUUGUGCUUUUCUGGAGUGUUAACUGACAGCUGCUUUCUUCCUGAUGUUAUUGCUUCUCAGAAGAAAAGAGUGUCCACAUCUUAAGCUCUAAGGCCCAGCCAAGCGGGAAAUAUGGAAGGAUGCAAAACCGAAGUAGUAACUUCCCCCUUUGGCCCUGGUACCUGGCUGGCAGCGUAGCUCAGAUGCAGUUGGAGACCUGGCGGCACCUUGGGUCACUCAAGCCUCUGAGUCUCCAUUUUCUCUUCUGUAAAAUAAAGACCUUUGUGUGGCCUCCCUCCAGAA